RNAcentral lists this ribosomal RNA (490 nucleotides) under Crotalus ravus (Mexican pygmy rattlesnake). Its description in RNAcentral is "partial 12S ribosomal RNA". Lineage: Eukaryota; Metazoa; Chordata; Lepidosauria; Squamata; Viperidae. The record is from RNAcentral.
GCCUAGCCGUAAUAUACAAUUAAACCACCAAUUGUCCGCCAAACAACUACGAGCUAAUGCUUAAAACUUAAAAGCAUUGACGGUGCUUCACCACGCCCUAGAGGAGCCUGUCUAGUAACCGAUAAUCCACGAUUAACCCAGCCCCCCCUAGCCUAACAGUCUAUAUACCGCCGUCGCCAGCUUACCUUGUAAAAGAAAUAAAGUGAGCUAAACAGUACCACACUUAAACGACAGGUCGAGGUGUAACUAAUGAGGGGGACUAAGAUGGGCUACAUUCUCUUGACCGAGAAUACGAACAAUACUAUGAAAUUGGUAUUCAAAGGCGGAUUUAGCAGUAAGAUAAGAAUAAAACACUUAACUGAACAUAACGCAAUGAAGUGCGUACACACCGCCCGUCACCCCUGCCACCACAACCCUUUUUUAAUUAAACCAACCAAAAACAUAAACCAGGGCAAGUCGUAACAUGGUAAGUGUACUGGAAAGUGCACUU